RNAcentral lists this ribosomal RNA (497 nucleotides) under uncultured bacterium. RNAcentral's name for it is "partial 16S ribosomal RNA". It matches the Rfam family "Bacterial small subunit ribosomal RNA", at positions 28 to 507 of the family's 1533-position model. The record is from RNAcentral.
GACGAACGCUGGCGGCGUGGCUAAUACAUGCAAGUUGAGCGAUGAAGAUUGGUGCUUGCACCAAUUUGAAGAGCAGCGAACGGGUGAGUAACGCGUGGGGAAUCUGCCUUUGAGCGGGGGACAACAUUUGGAAACGAAUGCUAAUACCGCAUAACAACUUUAAACAUAAGUUUUAAGUUUGAAAGAUGCAAUUGCAUCACUCAAAGAUGAUCCCGCGUUGUAUUAGCUAGUUGGUGAGGUAAAGGCUCACCAAGGCGAUGAUACAUAGCCGACCUGAGAGGGUGAUCGGCCACAUUGGGAAUGAGACACGGCCCAAACUCCUACGGGAGGCAGCAGUAGGGAAUCUUCGGCAAUGGACGAAAGUCUGACCGAGCAACGCCGCGUGAGGGAAGAAGGUUUUCGGAUCGUAAAACUCUGUUGGUAGAGAAGAACGUUGGUGAGAGUGGAAAGCUCAUCAAGUGACGGUAACUACACAGAAAGGGACGGCUAACUACGUG